AAGGUAGCAUAAUCAUUUGCCUUUUAAUUAGUGGCUAGUAUGAAUGGGUAAACACCAGUUAUAACUUUUUUAAGCCUGAAAAAAAAAUUAGAAUUUCAGUGAAAAUACUGAAACCCAAUAGAAAGACAAAAAAGACCCUAUCGAGCUAUAUUUAAUAACUAUUUAUAAUUUGUUGGGGCAAACAAAAGGACCAUAAUAGACAUCCUAAAACAAUUUUCCUUAUUGACGAAAAAAAAAGCAAAAGAAAAGCUACCGUAGGGAUAACAGACUUAUUUUUUCUGAGAGCUCAAAUUGACGAAAAAGAUUGGCACCU
Molecule: ribosomal RNA, 313 nt
Filed under: Craseoschema thyasiricola
Lineage: Eukaryota; Metazoa; Annelida; Polychaeta; Phyllodocida; Chrysopetalidae
Description: partial 16S ribosomal RNA
Rfam family: Bacterial large subunit ribosomal RNA
Source: RNAcentral